RNAcentral lists this ribosomal RNA (539 nucleotides) under uncultured bacterium. Its description in RNAcentral is "partial 16S ribosomal RNA". It matches the Rfam family "Bacterial small subunit ribosomal RNA", at positions 1 to 510 of the family's 1533-position model. The record is from RNAcentral.
GCCGCGAAUUCGCCCUUAGGGUUUGAUCAUGGCUCAGGAUGAACGCUGGCGGCGUGCCUAAUACAUGCAAGUCGAGCGAAUGGAUUAAGAGCUUGCUCUUAUGAAGUUAGCGGCGGACGGGUGAGUAACACGUGGGUAACCUGCCCAUAAGACUGGGAUAACUCCGGGAAACCGGGGCUAAUACCGGAUAACAUUUUGAACCGCAUGGUUCGAAAUUGAAAGGCGGCUUCGGCUGUCACUUAUGGAUGGACCCGCGUCGCAUUAGCUAGUUGGUGAGGUAACGGCUCACCAAGGCAACGAUGCGUAGCCGACCUGAGAGGGUGAUCGGCCACACUGGGACUGAGACACGGCCCAGACUCCUACGGGAGGCAGCAGUAGGGAAUCUUCCGCAAUGGACGAAAGUCUGACGGAGCAACGCCGCGUGAGUGAUGAAGGCUUUCGGGUCGUAAAACUCUGUUGUUAGGGAAGAACAAGUGCUAGUUGAAUAAGCUGGCACCUUGACGGUACCUAACCAGAAAGCCACGGCUAACUACGUGCCA